AGGUGGCUAAGAAGAUGAGCCUUAUUGAACAGUACAGGGAGGAAAGGGAAAGACAACAAAAGUUAGCAGAAGAAGAGGAAAUCAGGAGACUAAGAAAGGAGCUCAUUCCAAGAGCUCAACUCAUGCCCUAUUUCGACAGGCCUUUCAUCCCUAGAAGGUCGAUGAAGCAUUGCACCAUACCCAGAGAGCCAAAGUUCCAUAUACCAGCAUAACACAAGAAGAUCAAGUGUGGCAUGUGUUGGGAUGAUAUGUUCACACACCAACAAUGAAAUGCAGAGAAGGAAGAAAAAAUCAAGA
Molecule: non-coding RNA, 297 nt
Organism: Camellia sinensis
Lineage: Eukaryota; Viridiplantae; Streptophyta; Magnoliopsida; Ericales; Theaceae
Source: RefSeq, a predicted model, not a curated record